CGGGUGGUAAUGCCGGAUGCUCCGGUUGGAUGCAUGUCCUUCCGGGAAAGAUCCGUCGGUAUGGGAUGGGGUCGCGUCCUAUCAGCUUGAUGGCGGGGUAACGGCCCACCAUGGCUUCGACGGGUAGCCGGCCUGAGAGGGCGACCGGCCACAUUGGGACUGAGAUACGGCCCAGACUCCUACGGGAGGCAGCAGUGGGGAAUAUUGCACAAUGGGCGCAAGCCUGAUGCAGCGACGCCGCGUGCGGGAUGGAGGCCUUCGGGUUGUAAACCGCUUUUGAUCGGGAGCAAGCCCUUCGGGGUGAGUGUACCUUUCGAAUAAGCACCGGCUAACUACGUGCCAGCAGCCGCGGUAAUACGUAGGGUGCAAGCGUUAUCCGGAAUUAUUGGGCGUAAAGGGCUCGUAGGCGGUUCGUCGCGUCCGGUGUGAAAGCCCAUCGCUUAACGGUGGGUCUGCGCCGGGUACGGGCGGGCUGGAGUGCGGUAGGGGAGACUGGAAUUCCCGGUGUAACGGUGGAAUGUGUAGAUAUCGGAAAAAAAACACC
RNAcentral lists this ribosomal RNA (544 nucleotides) under Bifidobacterium dentium. RNAcentral's name for it is "bacterial SSU rRNA". It matches the Rfam family "Bacterial small subunit ribosomal RNA", at positions 157 to 710 of the family's 1533-position model. Lineage: Bacteria; Bacillati; Actinomycetota; Actinomycetes; Bifidobacteriales; Bifidobacteriaceae. The record is from RNAcentral.